GGGGGGACGACGCUGGCGGCGUGCCUAAUACAUGCAAGUCGAACGCUUCUUUUUCCACCGGAGCUUGCUCCACCGGAAAAAGAGGAGUGGCGAACGGGUGAGUAACACGUGGGUAACCUGCCCAUCAGAAGGGGAUAACACUUGGAAACAGGUGCUAAUACCGUAUAACAAUCGAAACCGCAUGGUUUUGAUUUGAAAGGCGCUUUCGGGUGUCGCUGAUGGAUGGACCCGCGGUGCAUUAGCUAGUUGGUGAGGUAACGGCUCACCAAGGCGACGAUGCAUAGCCGACCUGAGAGGGUGAUCGGCCACAUUGGGACUGAGACACGGCCCAAACUCCUACGGGAGGCAGCAGUAGGGAAUCUUCGGCAAUGGACGAAAGUCUGACCGAGCAACGCCGCGUGAGUGAAGAAGGUUUUCGGAUCGUAAAACUCUGUUGUUAGAGAAGAACAAGGAUGAGAGUAACUGUUCAUCCCUUGACGGUAUCUAACCAGAAAGCCACGGCUAACUACGUGCCAGCAGCCGCGGUAAUACGUAGGUGGCAAGCGUUGUCCGGAUUUAUUGGGCGUAAAGCGAGCGCAGGCGGUUUCUUAAGUCUGAUGUGAAAGCCCCCGGCUCAACCGGGGAGGGUCAUUGGAAACUGGGAGACUUGAGUGCAGAAGAGGAGAGUGGAAUUCCAUGUGUAGCGGUGAAAUGCGUAGAUAUAUGGAGGAACACCAGUGGCGAAGGCGGCUCUCUGGUCUGUAACUGACGCUGAGGCUCGAAAGCGUGGGGAGCAAACAGGAUUAGAUACCCUGGUAGUCCACGCCGUAAACGAUGAGUGCUAAGUGUUGGAGGGUUUCCGCCCUUCAGUGCUGCAGCUAACGCAUUAAGCACUCCGCCUGGGGAGUACGACCGCAAGGUUGAAACUCAAAGGAAUUGACGGGGGCCCGCACAAGCGGUGGAGCAUGUGGUUUAAUUCGAAGCAACGCGAAGAACCUUACCAGGUCUUGACAUCCUUUGACCACUCUAGAGAUAGAGCUUCCCCUUCGGGGGCAAAGUGACAGGUGGUGCAUGGUUGUCUUCACCUCGGGUCUUGAAAUGUUGGGUUAAGUCCCGCAACGAGCGCAACCCUUAUUGUUAGUUGCCAUCAUUUAGUUGGGCACUCUAACAAGACUGCCCGGGACAAACCGGAAGAAAGGUGGGAAGAACGC
This 1190-nucleotide ribosomal RNA is filed under the name Enterococcus faecium. RNAcentral's name for it is "bacterial SSU rRNA". It matches the Rfam family "Bacterial small subunit ribosomal RNA", at positions 23 to 1186 of the family's 1533-position model. Lineage: Bacteria; Bacillati; Bacillota; Bacilli; Lactobacillales; Enterococcaceae. The record is from RNAcentral.